RNAcentral lists this ribosomal RNA (602 nucleotides) under uncultured fungus. Its description in RNAcentral is "eukaryotic LSU rRNA". The stretch from base 202 to 353 matches the Rfam family "5.8S ribosomal RNA". The record is from RNAcentral. Lineage: Eukaryota; Fungi.
CUUGGUCAUUUAGAGGAAGUAAAAGUUGUAACAAGGUUUCCGUAGGUGAACCUGCGGAAGGAUCAUUAACAAAUCCAAUAAUUGUGGGUUAGAGGUAACUCUACCUGCAAAUAUUAAACCGCCGGUUUUCCAAAAGAGAAUCGGUUGGAUAUAUAUAUGCGUGUUAUGUUGACAGUGUGUGAGUGACUUUAAUUUAUUGACAACUUUUAACAAUGGAUCUCUAGGCUCUUGCAGCGAUGAAGAACGCAGCAAAAUGCGAAACGUGAUGCGAUUUGCAUGAAUCUGUGAGUCAUCUAAUCUUUGAACGCGAAUGGCACUGCUAUGUAAGUAGCAGUAUGUCUGUUUGAGAAUCGCAAAACAAGAUCAACUCUAGUUGAGAGUUGGGAUUGACCUUAUAUGCUUUGGCGUAUUUGGUUUAAAUAAAUCGAGUUGAUGAGCUCCCCAACGCGGCUCAAUGUGUGCUAGCGAGACAGUCGUCCCGAUCUCACAUUACCGCUGCGUUGCAGAGUUCUACGCACGGCUCGCUUAAAUUAUUAUAUCAAAUACGAUCUCAAAUCAGGCAAGAUUACCCGCUGAACUUAAGCAUAUCAAUAAGCGGAGGA